GAUGAACGCUGGCGGCGUGCCUAAUACAUGCAAGUCGAGCGAACGGACGAGAAGCUUGCUUCUCUGAUGUUAGCGGCGGACGGGUGCGUAACACGUGGAUAACCUACCUAUAAGACUGGGAUAACUUCGUGAAACCGUAGCUAAUACCGGAUAAUAUUUUGAACCGCAGGGUUCAAAAGUGAAAGACGGUCUUGCUGUCACUUAUAUAUGGAUCCGCGCUGCAUUAGCUAGUUGGUAAGGUAACGGCUUACCAAGGCCACGAUGCAUAGCCGACCUGAGAGGGUGAUCGGCCACACUGGAACUGAGACACGGUCCAGACUCCUACGGGAGGCAGCAGUAGGGAAUCUUCCGCAAUGGGCGAAAGCCUGACGGAGCAACGCCGCGUGAGUGAUGAAGGUCUUCGGAUCGUAAAACUCUGUUAUUAGGGAAGAACAUAUGUGUAAGUAACUGUGCACAUCUUGACGGUACCUAAUCAGAAAGCAACGGCUAACUACGUG
RNAcentral lists this ribosomal RNA (497 nucleotides) under uncultured bacterium. Its description in RNAcentral is "partial 16S ribosomal RNA". It matches the Rfam family "Bacterial small subunit ribosomal RNA", at positions 28 to 507 of the family's 1533-position model. The record is from RNAcentral.